RNAcentral lists this ribosomal RNA (495 nucleotides) under uncultured bacterium. RNAcentral's name for it is "partial 16S ribosomal RNA". It matches the Rfam family "Bacterial small subunit ribosomal RNA", at positions 28 to 507 of the family's 1533-position model. The record is from RNAcentral.
GACGAACGCUGGCGGCGUGCCUAAUACAUGCAAGUAGAACGCUGAAGGAGGAGCUUGCUUCUCUGGACGAGUUGCGAACGGGUGAGUAACGCGUAGGUAACCUGCCUGGUAGCGGGGGAUAACUAUUGGAAACGAUAGCUAAUACCGCAUAAGAGUAGAUGUUGCAUGACAUUUGCUUAAAAGGUGCAAUUGCAUCACUACCAGAUGGACCUGCGUUGUAUUAGCUAGUUGGUGGGGUAACGGCUCACCAAGGCGACGAUACAUAGUCGACCUGCGAGGGGGGUCCGCCAACCUGGGACUGGGACACGGCCCAAGCUCCUACGGGAGGCAGCAGUAGGGGAACUUCCGGAAAGGACGGAAGUCUGGACGGGCAACGCCGGGGGGGUGGAGGAGGGUUUCGGAUCGUAAAGCUCUGUUGUAAGGGGAGAAAGAGUGUGAGAGUGGAAAGUGCACACUGUGACGGUAUCUUAUCAGAAAGGGACGGCUAACUACGUG